RNAcentral lists this ribosomal RNA (545 nucleotides) under uncultured bacterium. Its description in RNAcentral is "bacterial SSU rRNA". It matches the Rfam family "Bacterial small subunit ribosomal RNA", at positions 102 to 682 of the family's 1533-position model. The record is from RNAcentral.
ACGGGUGAGUAACACGUGGGAACGUGCCCUUCGGUUCGGAAUAACUCAGGGAAACUUGAGCUAAUACCGGAUACGCCCUUAUGGGGAAAGGUUUACUGCCGAAGGAUCGGCCCGCGUCUGAUUAGCUUGUUGGUGGGGUAACGGCCUACCAAGGCGACGAUCAGUAGCUGGUCUGAGAGGAUGAUCAGCCACACUGGGACUGAGACACGGCCCAGACUCCUACGGGAGGCAGCAGUGGGGAAUAUUGGACAAUGGGCGCAAGCCUGAUCCAGCCAUGCCGCGUGAGUGAUGAAGGCCUUAGGGUUGUAAAGCUCUUUUGUCCGGGACGAUAAUGACGGUACCGGAAGAAUAAGCCCCGGCUAACUUCGUGCCAGCAGCCGCGGUAAUACGAAGGGGGCUAGCGUUGCUCGGAAUCACUGGGCGUAAAGGGCGCGUAGGCGGCCGAUUAAGUCGGGGGUGAAAGCCUGUGGCUCAACCACAGAAUUGCCUUCGAUACUGGUUGGCUUGAGACCGGAAGAGGACAGCGGAACUGCGAGUGUAGAGGU